GAUGAAGAACGUAGCGAAAUGCGAUAAGUAAUGUGAAUUGCAGAAUUCAGUGAAUCAUCGAAUCUUUGGACGCACCUUGCACCCUUUGGCAUUCCGAAGGGUAUGCUCGUUUGAGUGUCAUUGUACUCUCACACUCCCAAUUGCUUUGGAUUGGGAGCGGUGGACUUGGGUGUUGCUGCUUGACUGAGGCUCACCUGAAAUAUGUUAGUGCACCUCUUGAUUGGACAUAGUACGGCGUGAUAAGUGUCUUCGCCGGCUCCUCGCAAAGAGGGUGGCCGAUCGGGAGCUCUGUUGCUUCAAACUGUCUUCGGACAAUCUUCUGGCGACUUGACCUCAAAUCGAGUAGGACUACCCGCUGAACUUAAGCAUAUCAAUAAGCGGAGGA
This 385-nucleotide unclassified non-coding RNA is filed under the name soil metagenome. Its description in RNAcentral is "partial contains 5.8S ribosomal RNA, internal transcribed spacer 2, and large subunit ribosomal RNA". The stretch from base 1 to 120 matches the Rfam family "5.8S ribosomal RNA", at positions 35 to 154 of the family's 154-position model. The record is from RNAcentral.